GCCCCUGUUGUCUAAUGGUUAUGACGUCAGACUUCUACGUUCGUGUUUCGGAUUAUCUGGAGGCUGCGGGUUCGAGUCCCGCCAGGGGUU
Molecule: non-coding RNA, 90 nt
Organism: Mycena olivaceomarginata
Lineage: Eukaryota; Fungi; Basidiomycota; Agaricomycetes; Agaricales; Mycenaceae
Source: the annotation of a GenBank genome assembly